GAUGAACGCUGGCGGCGUGCCUAAUACAUGCAAGUCGAGCGAACAGACGAGGAGCUUGCUCCUCUGACGUUAGCGGCGGACGGGUGAGUAACACGUGGAUAACCUACCUAUAAGACUGGGAUAACUUCGGGAAACCGGAGCUAAUACCGGAUAAUAUAUUGCACCGCAUGGUUCAAUAGUGAAAGACGGUUUUGCUGUCACUUAUAGAUGGAUCCGCGCCGCAUUAGCUAGUUGGUAAGGUAACGGCUUACCAAGGCAACGAUGCGUAGCCGACCUGAGAGGGGGAUCGGCCACACGGGAACGGAGACACGGUCCAGACUCCUACGGGAGGCAGCAGUAGGGAAUCUGCCGCAAUGGGCGAAAGCCUGACGGAGCAACGCCGCGUGAGUGAUGAAGGUCUUCGGAUCGUAAAACUCGGUUAUUAGGGAAGAACAAAUGUGUAAGUAACUAUGCACGUCUUGACGGUACCUAAUCAGAAAGCCACGGCUAACUACGUG
This 497-nucleotide ribosomal RNA is filed under the name uncultured bacterium. Its description in RNAcentral is "partial 16S ribosomal RNA". It matches the Rfam family "Bacterial small subunit ribosomal RNA", at positions 28 to 507 of the family's 1533-position model. The record is from RNAcentral.